Long non-coding RNA from Equus caballus (horse), 3104 nucleotides. The record is from Ensembl. Lineage: Eukaryota; Metazoa; Chordata; Mammalia; Perissodactyla; Equidae.
CGAGAUUCUACCCCAGCCCACCACUCAUGGUCGCAGUGCCCUUGGGCGAGUCUCUGGAUGAGUCGGAGCCUUGGUUCCGUCCGCUGAGCCGAGACGGUGGCACCAGGCCUUCCUGCUGAUCUGCCAAAAUGGUAAGGUGAGGGAGCCCUAGUCAGGGAGCGAUCCCCUGGAAUGGCUUACUUGGCUCCUCUUCUCUAGGUGACAAACUUUGGCUCCACUCAAGCUGUUCCCGUCCCCACACAUGCUUUUACGUGGCUGCCUCCAAACCUUGGCUCACAGAACCUGCACCCUGCACGCCACCCCUCCCCUUCAUGUGUUCUGCUUGUUCUGAGAUCUGGCUCAGGCCCAGCCACCCUGACCAUCUGCAGCCCCUCCCCUUGCAGGCAGGCAGGCAGCAGCUCUUGCUGAGAACGUGCUUUGGGCUUGGCAGGCCUCCCCCGCCCCACCACCCCACCUCGUGGCUAAACCCGCACCCAGCCUGGGCGAUUCCCUGCCCAGCAGCUCUGAGCUCCAUCCUUGCCCUCCCCAGGCCGUGCAAUACCCCUGCAUACCCAGGUAUGACUGGGUUCUCUCCUGCUUAAAACCCUUUGUGGUCAUCCCCUUGAUUUUGGCUAAAGUCGCAUCUCUGAGCCUGGGCCUGCUGGCCUCCCCAAUUGGCCUGCGUGUCCCAUGUGCCCACAUCCCCACUGACUCUCUUGAUUCUGGCCUCAUGAGCUCUCUGGUUACUUAACUGCCUUCCCCAUCCUUUGCACCCUGCACCUCUCCAGCCCUUACUGCUAACUGUAAUUAAGUAACUAGGUUACCGUGGAGUUCGUGGCUUAGCGUCUCCACUGCUGAGAUGUGCUCUCUACAAGGGUGGGGUGUGUGUCUUGUUUAUAGCUCUGGACUAAGGCUCUCCAUGAUGUAAUAAAUGAACAGGGUUGUUAGCUGUGACAGACAGUAUCAGUUCCCUAGAGUCUCUGAGCAAUGACAGUAAGGCUGGCUGGCUGCCCUGGGCGAGGCCAGUAUAAAUCAGAUGUGACCUUGUCCUGUCCUCCCAGCUUGGGGCUUUCUAAGGGCAGGGCCUGGCCCCAAUCUUCCAUGAUUGCUGACUUCCAUGGGGCAACCAGGACACUUCUGGUCCCUUCCUACAGGGCACAGAUUACUACUCAGGGUGCCGGGGACCCCAAGAGCUUUAAGAGGAAGGCGACCCUCAAAAUUUUGUCAUGUAUUGUGCCCCUGCACACAGAUUCAGGGGUUGAUUCCAGAAAGAUUAAGAAACAUGUUCGCAGAUGGGCCAGGUGACAGAAAGUGACCCUGUAAAUGUUGCCCUUCCCUUCUAGGUGCCUGGUGCACACCUCAGUCUUUGGCACUCGGCCCUGGAUCCCUAGAGAACAUUGUUCUACUGAGUCGUAGCCCCCGCUUGUUCAUGGUUCUCUGGGUGUGAAUGUGGUGCCCGACAGCCAGAACAAUCAUGACAGACCCAGAACUAGGCUGACUUACAGGGGGCUGCGUCAGCCUCCCAACACCACACACACACUCACACACAGCCAGAAUGUGAGGAGGGGAGUCCCUGAGUCACGUGCUGCCAUUGGCUCUGCCCAUCCUUGACUUGAGGCAGGCCCCACUGCCUCCACCCCCACCCAGCCAGUGUCCACAGUGCAAGACGCCGUGCAGCCAUGCCUGGAGCUGGGCACACAUGUGGACCCCGAUACCCUGUGUGCAUGUGUCACAGGCUGGUCUCAGAUCGAUGCACGGCUCCUCCCCCGGUGCGGCCUCGGGCUCCCUCCUACCCCCACGUCCCUCCAGUAAUGUGUGUGGGGCCUUGAUUGUGCACCAGACACUGUGCUGUCCUCUUAGAGGCAGUUUUUCAUUUAUCUCCAAAUUGGAACAUAUAGUUUGUAAUAUUAUUUCAAUUUUACAGCAAGGAAAUAGCACAAAAAGGUGAAGAAAUUUGCCCCAAAUCAGAAAGCUUUGUAAGUAGCAGAACCUGAAUUUGUCGCUGGCAGUCUGGUUCCAGAUCCCAUUUGUAAACCCUACAUUUAUCCUGUCCUGUUUAUGCUGAGGGUUUCAUGGUGCAAACCUGUACUGUGGCCUCCACAGCCUUUCUCCCCAUGCAGGUUAGAGGUGAAUGUCCAGGCUCACCUCUUGUAUCAGGAAAAAAUGGUCACUGAGCAGAGCCUUCUGGAACUGCCAGGAGAGACCCCUUUCAGCUAAGUGAAGAGGAAGGGGCACCCCCUCGAUCAGUGUUAGUGCUAAGGUGGGAAUGGCACAGAAGGGCGUAGUGUUACGGAGCCCUGGGAGGCCCACUGAGAACACGGGCACCGUAGGAGGCAGAGAGAGCACAGAUUGGGCAGCCAGCUAUGGGUUCAAAUCCGCGUCCUGUCACUGGAGCAGAGUGACUUUGAACAAGUGAUGUCACAUCUCUGACCCCGCGUUUCCUAUCUGUAAAAUGGGGAUAUUGAUAGGUAUGUUGCAGCCUUGUUUUGACAAUGAAAGUGAAAUAAAGUUUGCAAAAUGUGAAGCCCAGUACAGGUGUGUAGUGAGCUGUGCAAGAGGUUGGGUUCCUAAAUUUAGUGCUUUUAAGUGGUCCAGGUGCCCGGGUACUCAGGCCUUGGAGCUGCUGCCCAAAUACCAGCAAUUCCUUGAGGCGGGAGCCCUGCGGGGAGCUCACUCCUGCUGAACACGGGUCUACGCGCACAGCUUUUCAAAGGCCCGGGUAGGCCACUGCUUUAGGUUGCUAUCCGUUGACGCCUUUUGGGAAAUUUCUUGGCAGCAACUGAGAGCAAAGGACCCAAGUGACCCCAGGGGGAGAUCCCAGGCUGGAGAAGAGGGCAUUAAAAUGGGAGAUAGUGAUUUACACCUACUCUGCUGGUAGUUUUUAAAUACUGGAACAUUCAGUGUAAGUGAGGUUGUGGUAAGAUUGGGCCAAGCGUAUAGUCUUGGUGACAGUUGUAGUAGGCAACCUCCAAGAUGGCCCCAAUGAUCCCUGCUCCUGGUAUUCUUGGCCUUGUCAUCCUCUCCCCUUGUUCCCUUGAUUCAAAACAGUAGAGCAUGGCAACGUAAAGGGGAUGUCAUUUCUGUGAUGAAGUUACAAAAGAUUGUGACUUCUGUCUUGCUAACAG